UUAAGCGACUAAGCGUACACGGUGGAUGCCCUGGCAGUCAGAGGCGAUGAAGGGCGUGCUAAUCUGCGAUAAGCGCCGGUAAGGUGAUAUGAACCGUUAUAACCGGCGAUACCCGAAUGGGGAAACCCAGUGUGAUUCGUCACACUAUCAUUAACUGAAUCCAUAGGUUAAUGAGGCGAACCGGGGGAACUGAAACAUCUAAGUACCCCGAGGAAAAGAAAUCAACCGAGAUUCCCCCAGUAGCGGCGAGCGAACGGGGAGGAGCCCAGAGCCUGAAUCAGCAUGUGUGUUAGUGGAAGCGUCUGGAAAGGCGCGCGAUACAGGGUGACAGCCCCGUACACAAAAGCGCAUGUGCUGUGAGCUCGAUGAGUAGGGCGGGACACGUGGUAUCCUGUCUGAAUAUGGGGGGACCAUCCUCCAAGGCUAAAUACUCCUGACUGACCGAUAGUGAACCAGUACCGUGAGGGAAAGGCGAAAAGAACCCCGGCGAGGGGAGUGAAAAAGAACCUGAAACCGUGUACGUACAAGCAGUGGGAGCACAGGUUUACCUGUGUGACUGCGUACCUUUUGUAUAAUGGGUCAGCGACUUAUAUUCUGUAGCAAGGUUAACCGAAUAGGGGAGCCGGAGGGAAACCGAGUCUUAACCGGGCGUUAAGUUGCAGGGUAUAGACCCGAAACCCGGUGAUCUAGCCAUGGGCAGGUUGAAGGUUGGGUAACACUAACUGGAGGACCGAACCGACUAAUGUUGAAAAAUUAGCGGAUGACCUGUGGCUGGGGGUGAAAGGCCAAUCAAACCGGGAGAUAGCUGGUUCUCCCCGAAAGCUAUUUAGGUAGCGCCUCGUGAAUUCAUCUCCGGGGGUAGAGCACUGUUUCGGCUAGGGGGCCAUCCCGGCUUACCAACCCGAUGCAAACUGCGAAUACCGGAGAAUGUUAUCACGGGAGACACACGGCGGGUGCUAACGUCCGUCGUGAAGAGGGAAACAACCCAGACCGCCAGCUAAGGUCCCAAAGUCAUGGUUAAGUGGGAAACGAUGUGGGAAGGCCCAGACAGCCAGGAUGUUGGCUUAGAAGCAGCCAUCAUUUAAAGAAAGCGUAAUAGCUCACUGGUCGAGUCGGCCUGCGCGGAAGAUGUAACGGGGCUAAACCAUGCACCGAAGCUGCGGCAGCGACGCUUAUGCGUUGUUGGGUAGGGGAGCGUUCUGUAAGCCUGUGAAGGUGUGUCGUGAGGCAUGCUGGAGGUAUCAGAAGUGCGAAUGCUGACAUAAGUAACGAUAAAGCGGGUGAAAAGCCCGCUCGCCGGAAGACCAAGGGUUCCUGUCCAACGUUAAUCGGGGCAGGGUGAGUCGACCCCUAAGGCGAGGCCGAAAGGCGUAGUCGAUGGGAAACGGGUUAAUAUUCCCGUACUUGGUGUUACUGCGAAGGGGGGACGGAGAAGGCUAUGUUGGCCGGGCGACGGUUGUCCCGGUUUAAGCGUGUAGGUGUGUGUUCCAGGUAAAUCCGGUUCACUUUAACACUGAGGCGUGAUGACGAGGCACUACGGUGCUGAAGUAACAAAUGCCCUGCUUCCAGGAAAAGCCUCUAAGCAUCAGGUAACAUCAAAUCGUACCCCAAACCGACACAGGUGGUCAGGUAGAGAAUACCAAGGCGCUUGAGAGAACUCGGGUGAAGGAACUAGGCAAAAUGGUGCCGUAACUUCGGGAGAAGGCACGCUGACACGUAGGUGAAGUGAUUUACUCAUGGAGCUGAAGUCAGUCGAAGAUACCAGCUGGCUGCAACUGUUUAUUAAAAACACAGCACUGUGCAAACACGAAAGUGGACGUAUACGGUGUGACGCCUGCCCGGUGCCGGAAGGUUAAUUGAUGGGGUCAGCGCAAGCGAAGCUCCUGAUCGAAGCCCCGGUAAACGGCGGCCGUAACUAUAACGGUCCUAAGGUAGCGAAAUUCCUUGUCGGGUAAGUUCCGACCUGCACGAAUGGCGUAAUGAUGGCCAGGCUGUCUCCACCCGAGACUCAGUGAAAUUGAACUCGCUGUGAAGAUGCAGUGUACCCGCGGCAAGACGGAAAGACCCCGUGAACCUUUACUAUAGCUUGACACUGAACAUUGAGCCUUGAUGUGUAGGAUAGGUGGGAGGCUUUGAAGUGUGGACGCCAGUCUGCGUGGAGCCGACCUUGAAAUACCACCCUUUAAUGUUUGAUGUUCUAACGUGGACCCGUGAUCCGGGUUGCGGACAGUGUCUGGUGGGUAGUUUGACUGGGGCGGUCUCCUCCUAAAGAGUAACGGAGGAGCACGAAGGUUGGCUAAUCCUGGUCGGACAUCAGGAGGUUAGUGCAAUGGCAUAAGCCAGCUUGACUGCGAGCGUGACGGCGCGAGCAGGUGCGAAAGCAGGUCAUAGUGAUCCGGUGGUUCUGAAUGGAAGGGCCAUCGCUCAACGGAUAAAAGGUACUCCGGGGAUAACAGGCUGAUACCGCCCAAGAGUUCAUAUCGACGGCGGUGUUUGGCACCUCGAUGUCGGCUCAUCACAUCCUGGGGCUGAAGUAGGUCCCAAGGGUAUGGCUGUUCGCCAUUUAAAGUGGUACGCGAGCUGGGUUUAGAACGUCGUGAGACAGUUCGGUCCCUAUCUGCCGUGGGCGCUGGAGAACUGAGGGGGGCUGCUCCUAGUACGAGAGGACCGGAGUGGACGCAUCACUGGUGUUCGGGUUGUCAUGCCAAUGGCACUGCCCGGUAGCUAAAUGCGGAAGAGAUAAGUGCUGAAAGCAUCUAAGCACGAAACUUGCCCCGAGAUGAGUUCUCCCUGAGACUUAGAGUCUCCUGAAGGAACGUUGAAGACGACGACGUUGAUAGGCCGGGUGUGUAAGCGCAGCGAUGCGUUGAGCUAACCGGUACUAAUGAACCGUGAGGCUUAACCUU
RNAcentral lists this ribosomal RNA (2906 nucleotides) under Salmonella enterica subsp. enterica serovar Dublin. Its description in RNAcentral is "bacterial LSU rRNA". It matches the Rfam family "Bacterial large subunit ribosomal RNA". Lineage: Bacteria; Pseudomonadati; Pseudomonadota; Gammaproteobacteria; Enterobacterales; Enterobacteriaceae. The record is from RNAcentral.